UAUUUUUAUGUAUUUUUAUAUUCUGCGUAAGGCAUAAGACUAAAAAAUGUUCAACCAAUUAAAUAUUGUUCGGCCGAUGUCUCCCAAAAUUCCGAUAAGUAGCUCAAACUGUCUGUCAGCAAUUGUAGAUUUGAACUAAUGCGCAGCUGUUUACACAUACACCCACUGCGGAUUCAUGAGAGAGAAAAAGCGCGAGUGGUAAAAACAUGCAUAAUCAACUUUUUAAACUUCUGAAUUAAUAUUGGAGUUAGUUUUGCACGCUGGUGGAAGGAUGACCCCAUGGCUGAAGUAUUUCUGUUAUACAUUUUCUGUUUUAAAACUAUUUUAGCUUACAAAGCUGAUGUAGAUGUUUUGUUACAAAUUAUAUUUUUUAUAUGCUCAGACGUGUCGUUCAGCCACUGAAAUCUCCUGGAGAACAAUUGAUGUGACUAUUUUCAGUUUCAUAAGGGACAUUUUACAGCAUCGAUAAUGUAGAUUUAAACUUAGUUUAACAACAGUAAAUGGCACUAUUCCACCAAGCCUGCUUUACUGAGCUGAAGUUGCUUUAUUCACAUCGGUUCAUUUUUGAACAGUGACAACCUGACAUGCUUAUAUUGUUUAUCAUGCUACUCUGACUAUUCAGUCUGAACAGCAAGCAAGUAUGGCUUGGUAAUGAGUGUAAGACCUGCAUGCCGCCGACCAACCACUAUUCCCUGAGUGAGGGUUCUGCUGUCAUCUUUAAGGUGGGGUGUGUUUCAGAGAUUUAUGCUAGCUGGUUAGCAUUGUACCUUUAAGUUCACCCCUGCUUGUUAAUAAUGCUGUCAUUCUGAAUUUCACAACUUUAUUAUUUUUCCCACUAACACAGGUUCGUCUUAUUGGAAACAGAACUCUACGCGAAUCUUUGCAAUGACUGAGUGGGACAAGUAUUUGUAGAGAUGGGAAGAAGAAAACGAAGAAAACUAGGGUAGAAUCAUGAAUAAUCUUUAAACUUUUCAUUAAUGUUCAGGCAAUUUAUGGAAAAUCUUUAGUGGAUUUUAUAUUGCAUUCUAUAUCCAUUCAAAUUAUUUUAAAUAACCCCACCAUCAUGCUAGUGUUUUUACUAGAUUUAUCUUUCAAAAGAUAUGUUGUCAUAUUCAAAACCAACACUGUGUCUGGUAAAAAAAAUAAAUAAAUUAAAUAGUCAUAGUUUAUUACUGUUUUAUUAUUGUCAGUGUUUUAGUUUGGCCAGGUCUGAUGGGACAUUUAGUUUACAGUACAACUAUGUUUUGUAAAGUUACUAACAACCUUGAAAUUUUUAAACUCCCUUAUUUUUAACAUCUGCUUGAGAUUAAAACACUUAUUUGUCAGCUUCAUACAUUUUUGUCUUAAACAAUUAACCUUUGGUUAGUUGUUGUGGGAAGAAGAAGAGAGGGUCGGCGAUUCAGGCAAACUUCACAACAUGAUGACUCUGGGCUCUGUGAUGUAAAAGAGAAAAUUGAGGAGCUUCUACUAGCAUUUGAAGGUCUACCUGCCAUGUCAGCUAAACUGAGAGAGCUGUGCAAAUGCCUCACAGAACGGCAAAGUGAGGUUCUGAGAACAUCGUUCAAGUGCUGUGUGUUCAGAGGAGUGAUGGACAGUCCUGUCUCGGUGCUGUUGUAGCCUUAUUGGCUGUCGACAAUGCAUAGAGGCAGUAGUGGACGAGGGCUAAGCCUGUAUAAAAUGCAGGUCUGCAGUGUCAAGAGAUUUUAUUGUGGUUGUGGCUGGCUUGUCUGAGGUCCUGAGUAUCAUUAAGGCCUUAGACAAGCAGUACAACUCCUGUUGAAGCUGUCAACUGAACCCUCCAAGCUGAUGUCUGGGUCUGGCAAGAGCACAUUUUGAUUAGAAGGAAUCAUUUAAUUCGGUUUGGCCAUUUGCAUUUUUUUAAUGCUUUUCCUAUUAAAAGCUUGACUCUUCUGUUGUGACAUUGUGUUCUAGAUGGGAACUUUUCAUUUUGUCAAUCUUGUAGUCUGAUAUGGCUAGGAUCUGUAGUCUUCUUUCAGUGUAAUCAAGGAACUUUGCUGCUGUUCCAUGAUUGUAACAGGUGUAAUAUUACGCAAUGCUGUUACCUAGCUGGGAACAAUUUUUAAGUGCUGUAUGUUUCUUUUGCUACAGCCAUGGUAUGGCAGCAAAAUACUUUCAAAAUUAAGCUGGAAUGUGUAUAGAACCUAGCCAUAUCAGCCUAGAAAAAAAACUACCAUGUGAUGACAUAUGUCAAACUCUAAAUGGGAAAGUCAGAACUUUUUUUUAAUUAGCAAGAUGCUAUUGCAAUAAUCUAUGCUAAGCUAAAGCCAACUCCCCCACCCCCCUUAUUUAAAAUGUUUUGUAUUAGUUUGUAUGCAUGUUUAUAUGCAGUUUACACAAUACAGUACGUUAGUGUUAUUACUACCUUUUUCAUACAUUUUGUGAUUCAAAGACAAUGUUUUAAACAUUCUGUUGGCAUGUUUGAGAAUAAAAAAA
Molecule: non-coding RNA, 2454 nt
Organism: Danio rerio (zebrafish)
Lineage: Eukaryota; Metazoa; Chordata; Actinopteri; Cypriniformes; Danionidae
Source: RefSeq, a predicted model, not a curated record